GACUACCGGGGUAUCUAAUCCUGUUUGCUCCCCACGCUUUCGUGCAUGAGCGUCAGUGUCGACCCAGGGGGCUGCCUUCGCCAUCGGUGUUCCUCCACAUCUCUACGCAUUUCACUGCUACACGUGGAAUUCCACCCCCCUCUGCCGCACUCAAGCCCACCAGUCACAAACGCAGUUCCCAGGUUAAGCCCGGGGAUUUCACAUCUGUCUUAGUGAGCCGCCUGCGCACGCUUUACGCCCAGUAAUUCCGAUUAACGCUCGCACCCUACGUAUUACCGCGGCUGCUGGCACGUAGUUAGCCGGUGCUUCUUCUUCCGGUACCGUCAUCCACACCCCGUAUUAGGAGAUGCGAUUUCUUCCCGGCCGAAAGAGCUUUACAACCCGAAGGCCUUCUUCACUCACGCGGCAUGGCUGGAUCAGGGUUGCCCCCAUUGUCCAAAAUUCCCCACUGCAGCCCCCCGUAGG
RNAcentral lists this ribosomal RNA (465 nucleotides) under uncultured Rhodocyclaceae bacterium. RNAcentral's name for it is "partial 16S ribosomal RNA". Lineage: Bacteria; Pseudomonadati; Pseudomonadota; Betaproteobacteria; Rhodocyclales; Rhodocyclaceae. The record is from RNAcentral.